This 425-nucleotide unclassified non-coding RNA is filed under the name soil metagenome. Its description in RNAcentral is "partial contains 5.8S ribosomal RNA, internal transcribed spacer 2, and large subunit ribosomal RNA". The stretch from base 1 to 120 matches the Rfam family "5.8S ribosomal RNA", at positions 35 to 154 of the family's 154-position model. The record is from RNAcentral.
GAUGAAGAACGUAGCGAAAUGCGAUAAGUAAUGUGAAUUGCAGAAUUCAGUGAAUCAUCGAAUCUUUGAACGCACCUUGCGCUCCUUGGUAUUCCGAGGAGCAUGCCUGUUUGAGUGUCAUGAAACCCUCAAACCCAAGUUUUGGAUUUCGAUCCAUGCUUGAGUUUGGAUUUGGAUGUUUGCCGGUGAUGAACCGACUCAUCUUAAAAGUAUUAGCUUGGAUCUGUCUAUAUGACUGGUUUGACUUGGCAUAAUAAGUAUUCUGCUGAGGACAUCUUCGGAUGGCCAGGACCUAGACUACUGUCUGCUAACUAAACCAUCACUUUAAGUGCAUCUUUGGAUGUUACUCAUUGUGUAACUUUGACAUCUGGCCUCAAAUCAAGUAGGACUACCCGCUGAACUUAAGCAUAUCAAUAAGCGGAGGA